UACGAAGGGGGGCUAGCGUUGCUCGGAAUUACUGGGCGUAAAGGGCGCGUAGGCGGACAGUUAAGUCAGAGGUGAAAGCCCAGGGCUCAACCCUGGAAUUGCCUUUGAUACUGGCUGUCUUGAGUAUGGGAGAGGUGAGUGGAACUCCGAGUGUAGAGGUGAAAUUCGUAGAUAUUCGGAAGAACACCAGUGGCGAAGGCGACUCACUGGCCCAUUACUGACGCUGAGGCGCGAAAGCGUGGGGAGCAAACAGG
RNAcentral lists this ribosomal RNA (254 nucleotides) under uncultured bacterium. Its description in RNAcentral is "partial 16S ribosomal RNA". It matches the Rfam family "Bacterial small subunit ribosomal RNA", at positions 524 to 776 of the family's 1533-position model. The record is from RNAcentral.